GAUGAACGCUGGCGGCGUGCCUAAUACAUGCCAGUCGAGCGAACAGACGAGGAGCUUGCUCCUCUGACGUUAGCGGCGGACGGGUGAGUAACACGUGGAUAACCUACCUAUAAGACUGGGAUAACUUCGGGAAACCGGAGCUAAUACCGGAUAAUAUAUUGAACCGCAUGGUUCAAUAGUGAAAGACGGUUUUGCUGUCACUUAUAGAUGGAUCCGCGCCGCAUUAGCUAGUUGGUAAGGUAACGGCUUACCAAGGCAACGAUGCGUAGCCGACCUGAGAGGGUGACCGGCCACACUGGAACUGAGACACGGUCCAGACUCCUACGGGAGGCAGCAGUAGGGAAUCUUCCGCAAUGGGCGAAAGCCUGACGGAGCAACGCCGCGUGAGUGAUGAAGGUCUUCGGAUCGUAAAACUCUGUUAUUAGGGAAGAACAAAUGUGUAAGUAACUAUGCACGUCUUGACGGUACCUAAUCAGAAAGCCACGGCUAACUACGUG
This 497-nucleotide ribosomal RNA is filed under the name uncultured bacterium. Its description in RNAcentral is "partial 16S ribosomal RNA". It matches the Rfam family "Bacterial small subunit ribosomal RNA", at positions 28 to 507 of the family's 1533-position model. The record is from RNAcentral.